UCGUGCUGUAUUUAUUUUUUCUCGUAUUUUAAUUUUGCUUUCUUGCUUAAUAGCGUGAUUAUAAAUAUAUGAGACUCAAUGGAAGGAAAUAUCCGCUGUGUCUCUUUCCAAGUCACUACUACCGUGUGCAUUUAUUUAUUUUGUACUACUGAGAAUUAAACUCAGGAUCAUCACUGUGAGCUGCAUCUGUAGUUUUUCUUUUUCUUUUGGACAGCAGCUGCUAAAUCACUAGGUAGUACAGGUGGGCUUGGACUGGAGGAGUUCUGCCUGCCUCAGCCUCCCAGAGUGCCAGGGUUACGGCUGUGUAUCACCUCGUUCGUGAUCGCUCCUGGAAAUACUGUUGGGUCCCCCAGUGCAGACAGACAGACGGAAGGACCACAGCGCGGAGCCCAGCUGGACAACGGCAGCUGCCUUCCGCACCUUCGCAUCACUGGGAUGUAAAACCUGGCACUUGCAACUUACCGAGAGGCUGAUUUUGUAAAGUCCAUAGUCCCCGGGCUCAUGGCAGCAGGGCACAGUGAGAAAACACUGCUCGUGUCACACCAGGGAGAGAAGCGGAGACCCAGGGAGAGACACGCUUGUCCAGGCCGCGCCCCAGUGACCCUCUCUCCCCACCAACAGCAGUGGUCCGGUGGGCCAUCCACGCCCAGCGCCACGCUGAUUCAGCUCUCCGGUGUUACAAGCUGACCCUGGUGGUUAUCAAUCCAUCACGACCUCCCACAGCAUCCUGGUGCGCUGAGCUGUCUGCAACGCGCUCUGUGGUUACCAGCAAGGGCGCUGUGCCCCACCCGCUGUGGCGUCCACUUGUUCCUGGCCACCUGGGUGUCCUCCUC
Long non-coding RNA from Cavia porcellus (domestic guinea pig), 833 nucleotides. RefSeq lists it as uncharacterized. The transcript has 3 exons. NCBI's taxonomy places the organism in Eukaryota, Metazoa, Chordata, Mammalia, Rodentia, Caviidae. The record is from RefSeq and is a predicted model, not a curated record.